This is a non-coding RNA of Prunus mume (Japanese apricot), 244 nucleotides long. Lineage: Eukaryota; Viridiplantae; Streptophyta; Magnoliopsida; Rosales; Rosaceae. The record is from RefSeq and is a predicted model, not a curated record.
AUUACCGAAACCCUAAUCAAUUCUCGCCUUUGAUGUUGUGAUUUUAUUUCUGGGUAAGACCAUUUCGUAUGGGGUUUGAUGUUUCGUUGUUUGACAAUUGGCAGGGAAGAGUCGCAGUGGGAGUUUCGCCAUGGCCGAAAGCUCUUUCAAGAAUGAAUAUCCUCAGGGAAUGAACCAAGCAGAAGAGUACAAUGCAGAUCCGACACCAAUGAUUGUUGAAAAUUCUGCAACCAUUGGCAUUCCU